GCACUGCUGAGGAGUCCCAUACUAGGACGAAAUGGUCGUCCGGUGC
Molecule: non-coding RNA, 46 nt
Organism: Schistosoma mattheei
Lineage: Eukaryota; Metazoa; Platyhelminthes; Trematoda; Strigeidida; Schistosomatidae
Source: Rfam